CCUACGGGAGGCUGCAGUGAGGAAUAUUGGUCAAUGGCCGGAAGGCUGAACCAGCCAUGCCGCGUGAAGGUCAGUGCCCUAUGGGCGUUAAACUUCUUUUGUGCGGGAGCAAUAAUGGUCACGUGUGGCCAGACGAGAGUACCGUACGAAUAAGCAUCGGCUAACUCCGUGCCAGCAGCCGCGGUAAUACGGGGGUUGCAAGCGUUAUCCGGAUUUAUUGGGUUUUAAGGGUGCGUAGGCUGUGAGGUAAGUCAGCGGUGAAAUGCCCCCGCUCAACGGGGUGAAGUGCCAUUGAUACUGCCUUGCUGGAAUGCGGAUGCCGUAGGAGGAAUGUGUGGUGUAGCGGUGAAAUGCAUAGAUAUCACACAGAACACCGAUUGCGAAGGCAGCUCACGAAUCCGCGAUUGACGCUGAUGCACGAAAGCGUGGGUAUCAAACAGGAUUAGAUACCCCUGUAGUC
This 460-nucleotide ribosomal RNA is filed under the name uncultured bacterium. RNAcentral's name for it is "partial 16S ribosomal RNA". It matches the Rfam family "Bacterial small subunit ribosomal RNA", at positions 338 to 795 of the family's 1533-position model. The record is from RNAcentral.